GGGAUUGUAGCUCAGUGGUAGAGCAUUUGUCUUGCAUGUGUGAGGCACUGAGUUCAAUCCUCAGCACCA
This 69-nucleotide transfer RNA is filed under the name Ictidomys tridecemlineatus (thirteen-lined ground squirrel). RNAcentral describes it as "Spermophilus tridecemlineatus (thirteen-lined ground squirrel) tRNA". It matches the Rfam family "tRNA". Rfam says of the family: Transfer RNA (tRNA) molecules are approximately 80 nucleotides in length. Their secondary structure includes four short double-helical elements and three loops (D, anti-codon, and T loops). The record is from Rfam by way of RNAcentral. Lineage: Eukaryota; Metazoa; Chordata; Mammalia; Rodentia; Sciuridae.